RNAcentral lists this ribosomal RNA (254 nucleotides) under uncultured bacterium. RNAcentral's name for it is "partial 16S ribosomal RNA". It matches the Rfam family "Bacterial small subunit ribosomal RNA", at positions 524 to 776 of the family's 1533-position model. The record is from RNAcentral.
UACGAAGGGGGCUAGCGUUGUUCGGAUUUACUGGGCGUAAAGCGCACGUAGGCGGAUCGUUAAGUCGGGGGUGAAAUCCUGGAGCUCAACUCCAGAACUGCCUUCGAUACUGGCGAUCUUGAGUCCGGAAGAGGUGAGUGGAACUCCUAGUGUAGAGGUGGAAUUCGUAGAUAUUAGGAAGAACACCAGUGGCGAAGGCGGCUCACUGGUCCGGGUACUGACGCUGAGGUGCGAAAGCGUGGGGAGCAAACAGG